CCCAGACUCCUACGGGAGGCAGCAGUGGGGAAUAUUACACAAUGGGGGAAACCCUGAUGCAGCAACGCCGCGUGGGUGAAGGAGCGUUUCGGCGCGUAAAGCCCUGUCAGCGGGGAAGAAGAAAGACGGUACCCGACCAAGAAGCCCCGGCUAACUACGUGCCAGCAGCCGCGGUAAUACGUAGGGGGCGAGCGUUAUCCGGAAUUACUGGGUGUAAAGGGUGCGUAGGUGGCAUGGUAAGUCAGAAGUGAAAGCCCGGGGCUUAACCCCGGGACUGCUUUUGAAACUGUCAUGCUGGAGUGCAGGAGAGGUAAGCGGAAUUCCUAGUGUAGCGGUGAAAUGCGUAGAUAUUAGGAGGAACACCAGUGGCGAAGGCGGCUUACCGGACUGUCACUGACACUGAUGCACGAAAGCGUGGGGAGCAAACAGGAUUAGAUACCCCGGUA
This 446-nucleotide ribosomal RNA is filed under the name uncultured bacterium. Its description in RNAcentral is "bacterial SSU rRNA". It matches the Rfam family "Bacterial small subunit ribosomal RNA", at positions 330 to 792 of the family's 1533-position model. The record is from RNAcentral.